This 263-nucleotide long non-coding RNA is filed under the name Elaeis guineensis (African oil palm). RNAcentral describes it as "long non-coding RNA (EGUI_LNC016720)". The record is from RNAcentral. Lineage: Eukaryota; Viridiplantae; Streptophyta; Magnoliopsida; Arecales; Arecaceae.
CCACUUCUUCCACUUUUUCCACCUCUUUCUCUUCUUCCAGUUCUUCUUCUUCUUCUUUCUCUUCUUAGAUAGGAUUGUUCUUUAAAAUAAAAUCAGUUGGAUCUACCUCCUCAUGUUAACAUUGGCCAUCAUGUAUAAGAAUUCUUAGAGCAUCCAACUUGAUAUCUAUUGAAGACCAAUGAAACCCUAAUAUUUUAUCCUCUUGAAAGCAUUCUGGUAAUUGGGGUUCUUCUUCUUCUUCGAAUACGUAAUAAAUAGCUCGA